Molecule: long non-coding RNA, 1249 nt
Organism: Melanaphis sacchari
Lineage: Eukaryota; Metazoa; Arthropoda; Insecta; Hemiptera; Aphididae
Exons: 2
Source: RefSeq, a predicted model, not a curated record
CGACUUAGCGGUGAUCAAUCUUAUAUAUUUUUUUUUAUAUAUCACUGUAAAUCGUCGUUGUGUACAUAAUAUACAGAAUAAAGAGAAUUCAAAAGGAGGAGAAGGAGGAGGAGGAUGAGGACCUCGCAAAAGGAAACCAUUAGAAUAUCAAAACAUAUUACUUACGCGAAAUUGAAUUUGGGAUAUUGUCAAGAGGAUAAAAUUAUACAUAUAUUAUACAUCAGAUAACACGCCCCGAAAUACUGCUGCAGACCAAACGUUUAUUUUGGCAUUAAAUAUAACAUUCUUUUAAUAUAUUAUUAAAGACAUAUCGCUCAUUCUUCGCACCAUCGAAAUGCGAACAAUCGUCGCGUUCUCAUGACGUUUGCAAUGUCUAUCGGUUGCUCGACGAUACUGUAUAAUAUUCAUGCUGAGAGAUGUUGGUCAAAUGUCGUCCGAACGGAUUUUAGAGAUCAACCGACGAUAUUCGCCAUACCAUUGUUUAUCUACUUUUCUUUUAUCGUGUACUAUUUCGUCAUCGCUGCCACACUCCAAUCUCCCCUCCCUCAUAAUCGCGGGUUAGAAAAUACACGUGCAUUUUAUGAAAGGUAAAAGAAAUGAAAAUAAUGUUUAUAUCUUAUUUUUUAAUUUGUUUUUAGACGUCUGACGGUUUUACUAUUUUCAUUAUUAAAAUAUUAUUUUUUUUUUUACUUUCGUCUCCUCGUAAAUAUUAUUAUAAAUAUGUAUGGUAAUAUUACGCGUGUAUCAUAUGUGCCCCUUUUGAAAUGUACAAUUUUAAACAUGAUAUUUAUUUUUUAAGUUUUAUCUAGUUAUUAAUUGCCUAAUAUUGUUUUCUUAUCGAAAAUAUUCAUCUAGUGAUAUAUAGAUAUAGUUGUAAAAAAUAAAACAAUGUAUUAAAUUGAAAAAAGAACUGAAUAUUGUAAUAACAAUUCAUGUAAUGUUACAUAAUAUUAUAGUUUAUACGACGAGGAGCCCGCCGAUUGGUUGAAACCGUACCACACCACAGUAACUAUAAUUCUAAUAAGUGAUUCUGCUUACUGAUAAUAUCAUUAUUAUUUUAUAAAAUAUCAAAUGAGAGCAAUAAUGUAUGUUGGUUUUUAACAUUAUAUUAUUAUGUAUACUUAUAAAUACCUAUAAUACAUAAUUCAUAUUAUAUUAAGUUGUAUGAUAUUGAUAGAUAAAAACUCUUAAAUUAUAUGUAGUAUGUAAUAUGUAUAUUAUAAUACAUGUGUAUAUUUAUAAAAACUGA